GGUUACUGCUAUCGGUGUUCGCCUAAGCCAUGCGAGUCAUAUGUUCUUCGUGAACAUGGCGUACUGCUCAGUAACACGUGGAUAACCUGCCCUUGGGUCCGGCAUAACCCCGGGAAACUGGGGAUAAUUCCGGAUAACGCACAUAUGCUGGAAUGCUUUAUGCGUCAAAUGGAUUCGUCUGCCCAAGGAUGGGUCUGCGGCCUAUCAGGUAGUAGUGGGUGUAAUGUACCUACUAGCCGACGACGGGUACGGGUUGUGAGAGCAAGAGCCCGGAGAUGGAUUCUGAGACAUGAAUCCAGGCCCUACGGGGCGCAGCAGGCGCGAAAACUUUACAAUGCGGGAAACCGUGAUAAGGGGACACCGAGUGCCAGCAUCAUAUGCUGGCUGUCCGGGUGUGUAAAAUACACCUGUUAGCAAGGGCCGGGCAAGACCGGUGCCAGCCGCCGCGGUAACACCGGCGGCCCGAGUGGUGAUCGUGAUUAUUGGGUCUAAAGGGUCCGUAGCCGGUUUGGUCAGUCCUCCGGGAAAUCUGACGGCUUAACCGUUAGGCUUUCAGAGGAUACUGCCAGGCUUGGAACCGGGAGAGGUAAGAGGUACUACAGGGGUAGGAGUGAAAUCUUGUAAUCCCUGUGGGACCACCUGUGGCGAAGGCGUCUUACCAGAACGGGUUCGACGGCGAGGGACGAAAGCUGGGGGCACGAACCGGAUUAGAUACCCGGGUAGUCCCAGCCGUAAACGAUGCUCGCUAGGUGUCAGGCAUGGCGCGACCGUGUCUGGUGCCGUAGGGAAGCCGUGAAGCGAGCCACCUGGGAAGUACGGCCGCAAGGCUGAAACUUAAAGGAAUUGGCGGGGGAGCACAACAACGGGUGGAACCUGCGGUUU
Molecule: ribosomal RNA, 882 nt
Filed under: uncultured archaeon
Lineage: Archaea
Description: bacterial SSU rRNA
Rfam family: Archaeal small subunit ribosomal RNA
Source: RNAcentral